CUGCAGCCUCCUUUCCCCGCUGUGGCUACCUGACACCGCUUUAGGCUUUGUUCCUGCACCACUGGAACUCCGUGGCAAAAUCAGAUCCAACUUCAGGCUCCUGACCUGGAAAAUGAUACGAUACCACAACGCUGCGUCACCUUCCUCCAGACACAGAGUUCAUCAUGUGUUAGAAGUUCCCAUCCACCCACAUCAUCGCUUUUUGAGGAAACAGGACUUCUGUCUGGAUUAUUCCAUCUUUAUAUUGUCCUUCUUCAUUGCCUUGCCAUUACCUAGGACACACCGGAAGUAACCAAGGCAUACGGGGCUGAAAUUAAAGCUCAAGUCAUACAGUUACUAAAUGGGUUCCCCACUGACCAGAUCCAACCACAACAGCAGGUACUGGAGUCCAUGACUCAUUGCCUACCAGCCAGCCCCACCGCACACAGCAAGCUUGAGAGAGGACCUGAGAGGCAAUGGAAGAGACCCAUGACAUGUUCCCAGCCCCCAGCUGGAAAGGACUCUGGGAUCCUGACCUGAGCUGAAGGCAGAAGCUUAAUUGACUGAACCACCCAGGCGCCCCGCCCCCACCCUCCAACUUCCUGUAGGAUAAUGGGGAGCACCAGCAGGAGACUGGAAGGGGGAAUGGAGAAGACUGGCCAGCAAAUUUGCUUCCCUGCCAGGUGGCUGCCAGUUUGCCACUAAGAGCCCCGGGGCCCCUGUCAGGCAGCCUGUCCAUUCAACGCCCUUCUCUGAGUUACGGAUGGCAAACACGGAUGGCCCCGGUGUGACUGGCCCCAGGCUAUUGUGCUCUCCUUGGUUCCCCUCAUCUUUCUAAGAGGU
Molecule: long non-coding RNA, 822 nt
Organism: Mustela lutreola (European mink)
Lineage: Eukaryota; Metazoa; Chordata; Mammalia; Carnivora; Mustelidae
Exons: 5
Source: RefSeq, a predicted model, not a curated record